Molecule: ribosomal RNA, 507 nt
Filed under: uncultured bacterium
Lineage: Bacteria
Description: partial 16S ribosomal RNA
Rfam family: Bacterial small subunit ribosomal RNA
Source: RNAcentral
GACGAACGCUGGCGGCGUGCCUAAUACAUGCAAGUCGAACGCAUUUUCUGUCACCGUAGUUUGCUACACAGAAAGAAAAGGGGGGGCAACCGGGAGGGUAACACGCUGGUAACCUGCCCAAAAGCGGGGGAAAACAAUUGGAAACAGCAGCUAAUACCGCAUAAUAUCAUUUACUGCAUGGAAGUUGGAUGAAAGGCGCACUUGAGGCACUUACGGAUGGUCAGGCGGUGGAUUAGCUAGUUGGUGGGGUAACGGCCGACCAAGGCUGCGAUGCAUAGCCGACCUGAGAGGGUGAUCGGCCACACUGGGACUGAGACACGGCCCAGACUCCUACGGGAGGCAGCAGUAGGGAAUCUUCGGCAAUGGACGCAAGUCUGACCGAGCAACGCCGCGUGAGUGAAGAAGGUUUUCGGAUCGUAAAACUCUGUUGUUAGAGAAGAACAAGUAUGAGAGUGGAAAGUUCACCCCUUGACGGUAUCUAACCAGAAAGCCACGGCUAACUACGUG